UAUAUUUAAAUAUAUAUUUAAUUAAAUAAUUGUCCAUUCAGCUACAAAAGUGUAUGUGUCUUUUAGAUGAAAAGGAAGCAAAGUAUAAACUAUGGACAGGACACGGUGCCAUGUUCCUCGGUGUGUUUUUAUCUAUCUUUAAGGUGAAGACUUUGUCAGAAUUCAGAACCAUCCAAUAUAUACUAUAGUUUCACAACCGCACAGGGAAGCCAUCAUGAACCACUUAAGGAUGUAUUGAUGUUAACGGUGCAUAGAGUUUUCAGAAGACUAAAAAGAAUAUUAGCUUAACACCAUUGGUCUGCUUUGGAUUUCGACUGACUUUAUCACCAAGGGUCCGCUGGAGGGUCCUAUAGAGAAUAAUGGAAAAGGUAAGGAAUUCAGCUAUGCGGACACUCUUUCAACUCUAACAAGCCAUGGCCAAAAGCUUUCAAAGAGCAUGUAGGUGGAUUGUCUCUGGAAUUGUGUUUUCACAACUUUAGAUCAUGCUUCUCACAUGGAUGGGAAUCUUUGCUUCGGUUUGUAAAGAACAACAUUGCAAAUGGUAGUAAAGAAGUUGCUCUUGCUACACUAGGUUGUUUGCAGUUAACAUUCCUCUCUUAUUCACCCAAGGCUAGUACAUGCCAUCUCGACCACCAGCAAAUGAUCUCACAAACCGAGUCUACAUCCAUUUACAUAUCGAAUGCCCUAGGUUCCUCAUCCAUCCUUAUCAUGGAGGUCCUCAGCCUUACCUUAUACCAACCAUGGAGUACAUGGACCUGUUGGUGGCGUUUCUUAGCGUGGUAGUCAUGGUUUCACUGCUGGUCAGGGGAAUGCAAUUGACAACAACAAUCAUUUAACUAGCAUGAAGAUUGUGAAAGAGGUUCAUAAGCGCAAUGAAGUUUUGAGUUUUUAUUCAAACGUUUAUUAGUUAUUUGUUUUAAAUAUUUAGACUUAGGUUGACACUUAUUUGACAUUUGUUUGAAACAUUUACAUUGUGU
This 977-nucleotide long non-coding RNA is filed under the name Helianthus annuus (common sunflower). The record is from RNAcentral. Lineage: Eukaryota; Viridiplantae; Streptophyta; Magnoliopsida; Asterales; Asteraceae.